Molecule: non-coding RNA, 3377 nt
Organism: Amborella trichopoda
Lineage: Eukaryota; Viridiplantae; Streptophyta; Magnoliopsida; Amborellales; Amborellaceae
Source: RefSeq, a predicted model, not a curated record
CGACCAACGGCUGGAGUAACACCCAUCAAAAUCAACGGUUUGGAAGCCCGUCUUCCCUUUUUCAGCGCGGAAAACCCCUUUCUCGCCCGAACUCCUUGGAUGCUCACUGAAGCUCGCAGAAUCUCUAUCUGUCUUUUCUCCAUGAGGAAGCUCGCUGAAAGCUUGGAUGGGCGCUGGAAAAAGCUUGCUGAAAAAACACUUGGGUGUUCGAAGCUCGCUGGAAGAUUGGAUGCUCGCUGAAAAAACUAGCCUCUCUCUCUAGCGCGCUGUAUCUCUCUCUCUAACUCACUGAAACUCUCUCUCUCUUUAGCCGAAAUCGAAACCCUCGAUGAAACCCUCACUCUCUCUCUAGAUCGCUAAAACUCUCUCUCUCUAUCUGAAAUUGAAACCCUCGCUGAAAUGGUUUUCUCGCUGAAACCUUCUCUAACAACUCUGGCUAGGUAAAGGAAGCCAUCACUCGCUGAAAGCUGACACUGAAAGGGUAAUUUUAGUACAUGAGAUGGAGCUCACCAUUUCAGAAAGUGUGGCAUCCUCCACAUGGCCAGAGGAUGACAACAUGGUUAGCCUAUGGAGCAAGAUCCGUUGGUUGCAUCCCUGCCCCCCAAUAAGUUCACAAAUUCCGGAAACAGGGAACAUGCGUCAUCAUCCAAGGGGACAAAAAUAGAGGAACCUUACAUAGGAAUGAAAUUCAGUUAUGAAAAUGAUGCAUUUGAGUUUUACAAGACUUUUGCAUUGGUGCAUGUGUUUGGUGUAGAAAGCAAACUACUGACAACAAUAAGGAUGGAAAGAGAACUACUAGGGAUUUUAUAUGUUCGAAGGAAAGAUUCCGCAGGGUGAAAGAAGUGUUACCUACAAAAAAAUCCCUCGGUCAAGGUGUGGAUGUCCAGCAAAGAUGUGUGUAAGUAUAAAUGCCAACAAUGAGUGGGUUGUCACAAGGUUUGUUAAGGAUCACAAUCACGUCUUUGUAUCUCCAAGGAAAGCCCAAUUCAUCCUAUCGCACCGAACAAUAUCGAAUACGAUAAAGACAAUGAUAGACUCCAUGAGCUCCGCUUUGGUAAAGUCUCGAAAUAUCUAUGAUAUCUUUUUAGAGCAAGAUGGAUGGAUCGAUAAUAUCCCUUUCUCAAAAAAAGACAUCAAAAACCAAAUAAGAAACAAGAAAAAAAAAUUCAAAAGGGAAGAUUGGAACCGUGCGAUGGAAUGGUUAAUUGAUAUGAAAAGAUUGAAUCCAUCUUUUUUCUAUAAGGUGAAAUUAGAUGAAGAAAGUCUUAUUGUCAACCUAUUAUGGGUAGAUGCCAUGUCAAGGGUGUUCUACAACCACUUUUCAGAUGUGGUCACUUUUGAUACCACGUAUAAGACAAAUUCUUUUGGCAUGCCUUUUGCUCCCAUACUUGGAGUGAAUCACCACCUUAGCACAAUAUUUUUUGGGUUUGUACUUAUAUUUGAUGAGAAGGUGGAAUCCAUUGUAUGGGUAUUUGAAAAUUAGCUUGAAGCAGUAGGUGGACGUCAACCGAGAGUCAUUAUCAUCGAUCAGGAUCCUCCAAUAACCGCUGUAGUGAGACAAGGUUUGAAUAAAAGCAGACAUCAUUAUUUUAAGUGGCACAUACUUUCAAAGCUCAAAGAAAAAUGGUGACAUGUCUUGCGAAGGAGUCUAUCUUUUUCAGACUAUUACAGGAACUGUAUAAUAAGUGAAACUAAGGAAGAAUUUGAGUCAGAAUGGAGAUCUUUAAUUGAGAAAUAUGAUCUUCAACAUAAUGAAUGACUCAAUAGAUUGUACAAAUGUCGAGAGCAAUGCAUACAUUGCAAAUGCAUUCAUAGCCAGUAUGUCUUCGAUUUAGAGAAGUGAAGAAAUGAAUAAGCACUUCAAAAAUUAUGUGACUUCCAAUACAAGCUUGUGCACAUUGUUGGAAACUACUGUAAAAGUGCAUGAUAAAAAACUUCUUAAGACAAGAGAAAAUGACUUAAAGAACAUCACAUCUACGCCUUUUUUGAGGACCGCGUGUGACAUCGAGGCGCACGCUUCGAAGAUAUAUACACACAAAGUUAUGAAGUUGUUUGGAGAAGAAGUUGCAGAAAGCAUCAAUUACAUGAGUGAAAUUAUCGAAGAGAAUGACACAGUUACAAACUUGGGCUGGGAUAGAGGCAGAGAAAGCGAAAGCGAAAGAGAAAGAAGUUACCGGAAAGUGCGCAGUUUGCAAAAAGAGUGGACAUGACAGAAAGAAUUGUCCAGCUGUCGCAUUUUUAAAGUAUGAAUGAACUAUUGUUCCAUCUUUCGUAUUUUUUAUGAUGGUAAUAUGAAUUCAUUAAUUAUAAAUAUUUGAAAUGGAUUUUUUUUCGUUUAGGUUAAAUGUCAAUAUAAGAUGCAUGGAUGGGUCAAGUGAGAAUGUGGAACACGAUAAGUAAUGGUAUGGACAAUGACCCCAUUGGGCAUUUGCUAACUACAUCUUGGGGCUCUUUGUAGCAAUUAGGUGACAGACACUUGUUGAUCUAGUGUUGUAAUUGUGACAAGCAUUAGAGAAUGGACGGCGUUGUGCACUCAUGUGUAAUUAGAAGUGAAGAAUGAAAUUCCAUUUCAGAACUAAAUGGUACAGGGGCUAGAUAAAGGUCAAAGGAAGAAAAAUAAACAGUAAACAUAUUGUAAUUGUAGUUUUCAGAGUGAUGAGGAACUAUACCUUUUUCCUAGACUUUGUUUGAUAAUUGUUGCGUAGCAGAGGGCAUGUACCUUUAACUAGGUUAGGUUUUUAAGAUUACUGGAUAUAAUAGUCCUUAUUAAUGUUAUCUUAAUUCUAUUGUUGUUUGGGGUUCACGUCUUCUUAUCUUAAUGCUAUUGUUGUUUGGGGUUCACUUCUUGUUAGUUAAUGCUAUUGUUGUUUGGGGUUCACUUCUUGUUAGUUAAUGCUAUUGUUGUUUGGGGUUCACUUCUUGUUAGUUAAUGCUAUUGUUGUUUGGGGUUCCUUUGAUUUUCACUUAAUUAUGAAAGAGGGGUGUUUUUCUGGUUUUCACAGAAAUAUGAAAGAGGGAUGAGCUGGUACAUGGAAGUACAUUGUUUAAAAACCAUCAAAAUUCACUGAAAAUCAAAAUACAGUUUCUCAUUUCUCGUGUGACUCAUUAAUAAGUACAGCUUCGGACUUGUUAAGCCACUAGCAGAGUCUAUUCAUAAAACUCACUGAGUUUUUAAAUGACUAGCCGGUGUCUACUUCUUUCUUUUGAUUGGUGAAGGAAGUAUGCAAUUUAUAACUUAUGGGGCAGAACUCAUCACCCUUAACAAUUAGAUACUAAGAAGGUACAACCAACGUGCUUCUGGAAAAGAAAUUCUCAUUUAUUAUCUUCUUCUAUGGUUUUUGAAUACUAUGUCAAAGACUCUGUUGAGCAUGCUUGAG